AAUGAACGCUGGCGGCGCGCCUAAUACAUGCAAGUCGAGCGAGAAGACGUAGCAAUACGUUUGUAAAGCGGCGAACGGGUGAGGAAUACAUGGGUAACCUACCCUCGAGUGGGGAAUAACUAGCCGAAAGGUUAGCUAAUACCGCGUACGCUCCUUGGACUUCGGUUCAGGGAGGAAAGCGAUACCGUGGGUAUCGCGCUCUUGGUUGGGCUCAUGUCCUAUCAGCUUGUUGGUGAGGUAACGGCUCACCAAGGCUUCGACGGGUAGCUGGUCUGAGAGGACGAUCAGCCACACUGGCACUGCGACACGGGCCAGACUCCUACGGGAGGCAG
Molecule: ribosomal RNA, 332 nt
Filed under: uncultured bacterium
Lineage: Bacteria
Description: bacterial SSU rRNA
Rfam family: Bacterial small subunit ribosomal RNA
Source: RNAcentral